AGUAGAAUAGCUGGGUCAAAUGGUAGUUCCAUUCUCAUUUUUUAGAAGAAUCUUCAUACUGCUUUCCAUAUUGGCUGCACCAGUUUGCAGUCCCGCCUGCAAU
Molecule: microRNA precursor, 103 nt
Filed under: Marmota monax (woodchuck)
Lineage: Eukaryota; Metazoa; Chordata; Mammalia; Rodentia; Sciuridae
Source: RNAcentral